This 356-nucleotide RNase P RNA is filed under the name Candidatus Marimicrobium litorale. RNAcentral describes it as "RNase P RNA component class A". It matches the Rfam family "Bacterial RNase P class A". From Rfam's summary of the family: Ribonuclease P (RNase P) is a ubiquitous endoribonuclease, found in archaea, bacteria and eukarya as well as chloroplasts and mitochondria. Its best characterised activity is the generation of mature 5'-ends of tRNAs by cleaving the 5'-leader elements of precursor-tRNAs. Lineage: Bacteria; Pseudomonadati; Pseudomonadota; Gammaproteobacteria; Cellvibrionales; Halieaceae. The record is from RNAcentral.
CGAGUCGGUCAGGCGAUCGCUCUUCAGUCACUUCGGUGAAUGGAGGGAGGAAAGUCCGGGCUCCACAGGGCAGGGUGCCAGGUAACACCUGGGGGGCGCGAGCCUACGGAAAGUGCAGCAGAAAGGAAACCGCCGCCGCAAUUGCGGCGGUAAGGGUGAAAAGGUGCGGUAAGAGCGCACCGCGCGGCUGGUGACAGGCGUGGCGAUGGUAAACCCCACUCGGAGCAAGACCAAAUAGGAAUCCGUCAGCUGCGGCCCGCAGUGGAUUCGGGUAGGUCGCUACAGGCAGGUGGUGACACCGGUCGCAGAUGAAUGAUCGUCCACGACAGAACCCGGCUUAUCGACCGACUCGAUUC